Molecule: long non-coding RNA, 1178 nt
Filed under: Eucalyptus grandis
Lineage: Eukaryota; Viridiplantae; Streptophyta; Magnoliopsida; Myrtales; Myrtaceae
Description: long non-coding RNA (EGRA_LNC004337)
Source: RNAcentral
ACAUAUAGUCAAACCCCUGAGAACUAGUUAGUCCAUAAUAAGAGUGAUUGGUUUCAAAGUAGGUCGGUUAAUGUUCAAAAACUCAAGGUCAGUUCCUAGUCUGUGGAAUUGAGAACCAACCCACUCAAUCAAUAAGGAUUUUUUUUCUUCUUUUUGGUUUCUUCUAUUCCUUACAAGUGGGAUUUUCCCAACAUUAAAAGAAAGAAAAAUUACUAAUUUGAGCUUACUUCAAAGUAAAAAUGUAAAAAAUAUUUAGGCUCCAUUCGUUUCAUGGAAAAUAACUUCUAAAAAAACGUUUUCCGAAUUUUCUAAUGAUCGUUUCACAAAAAAUGAAUUAGUCACGGAAAAUGUUUUCUACUAUAAGAAAAAACACCUUUAAAAGUGGGCGAAAUAUUUUUCACUUUUGAAAAAUGAAAAACAUUUUACAUAACUUAUUCCACCUCAUUUUCUUUCACUAAACACAUUUUCAUUUCAUUUUUAUAUUUUCUUUUUCUUUUUUUAAAAAUUCAGUUUUAGUUUUUUUCUUUACUUUCUUUCCUUUCUCUUCUUCUUCUUAGGCCUUGGCCGAUCGCCGGCCACGGUGGUAGCUAGCAACCAACCAUUGGCGAGCUCGGCUUCAAUUGGCCAUAAGCUAGGUCAGUGAGGCUCGAGCUUGAUCUGACUACCGCCAUGGCCAGCCACUAGCCUAGGUUGAAAAGGAAGAGAAAAAAAUUAAAAUUUAAAAAAAAAUGAAAAAUGAGUGUAUGCAAGAAAAGAUAAUAUUUUCUAGUUCAUUUUCAAAUUUCUGCCAAACAUUAAAAAAAUUGGUUAUUUUCCUGAAAAAUGGUUUCUUGGAGAACCAUUUCUAGAAAUAGUAUAUUUUUCGGGAAACGAAAGGAACCUGAAAUUUUUUUGCAAAUUCUUUAGUCCGGUUCCAUAUAAGGAAUCGGAGAUCUGGCCUCAAACUAGUCCGUUUGGUCCGGUCCGGCUCGCUUGCUGGAUUGAACCGGGACGGACGCAGCCGCCCCUAGUCUGUAAAUACUCUUUCCAAUUUUUCCUUUUUCAUUUUUAUUCUUCCCAGCUUCCGUUGACCGACGGGAGGGGGCAGGCCUCUGGGGAAAGUGGCAACAUCGCAAAUAACGCGAGAACGGAGGGCCGAUGCCCAAGGGGGGGGCCCCUCCUCGUGGUAGACAUCACGC